GGGGAUGUAGCUCAAACGGGAGAGCGCUGCCUUUGCAAGGCAGAGGUUAGGGGUUCGAUCCCCCUCAUCUCCA
This 73-nucleotide transfer RNA is filed under the name bacterium. Its description in RNAcentral is "tRNA-Ala". It matches the Rfam family "tRNA". Rfam says of the family: Transfer RNA (tRNA) molecules are approximately 80 nucleotides in length. Their secondary structure includes four short double-helical elements and three loops (D, anti-codon, and T loops). Further hydrogen bonds mediate the characteristic L-shaped molecular structure. tRNAs have two regions of fundamental functional importance: the anti-codon, which is responsible for specific mRNA codon recognition, and the 3' end, to which the tRNAs corresponding amino acid is attached (by aminoacyl-tRNA synthetases). tRNAs cope with the degeneracy of the genetic code in two manners: having more than one tRNA (with a specific anti-codon) for a particular amino acid; and 'wobble' base-pairing, i.e. permitting non-standard base-pairing at the 3rd anti-codon position. The record is from RNAcentral. RNAcentral also lists the same sequence under 1 other name.